This is a non-coding RNA of Cinara cedri, 217 nucleotides long. The record is from the annotation of a GenBank genome assembly. NCBI's taxonomy places the organism in Eukaryota, Metazoa, Arthropoda, Insecta, Hemiptera, Aphididae.
UGACGCGCAAAAUCAAUUUUGACUACAAUAUUCUAACACCGUCAUUUGUAUAGUUAUUUCCACCUCGAAAUCUCCGAUUUCCGCGCAGCCUUAAAAUCGGUUAGCAACGGAAUGCUAGUUCAAUGUAUGUUGUAACUCAGAACAAGUACCGAAAUCUGCACGACGUUACCUAACGUUAUAUUUGUCUAUUGAAUAGUUAAAAAAUCGAUAAAUUAAA